Molecule: long non-coding RNA, 423 nt
Organism: Ipomoea nil (Japanese morning glory)
Lineage: Eukaryota; Viridiplantae; Streptophyta; Magnoliopsida; Solanales; Convolvulaceae
Exons: 3
Source: RefSeq, a predicted model, not a curated record
UAAGAAACAGGACCAUAGCCAAUUCAAGGAAAUUUUAACCCACAGUUUUAAUUGGUGGUAUUGGAGGUGGGACGUCUGGAGAAUGAAAGCACGUGAGAAAUUAAUUUCAGUAAUUAAACUGGUUAUUUUGCAGCUGUGUGUGGUGGCAGCUUCAUUUUCUGCCUCAAGUAUUAUGUAUGGGUCCGCCAAGCCAAUCUUCUCCGAUCUUUUUUCGCUAUUGUCAUUUGUCACAGACCAAGUUGCUGCCUUACCACACAAAAGUGAAUAAAUGAGUUCAGUUCUAGCUCUCACAAUAUGUAUGUACAGAUCAGAAAUUAAAGAUGGAGAUGAGGCACAAAUGAAUUGAAAUCAAUUAUUAGGUCCCCAACAGCUCAAAUACAUUACAGUUCUCAAAGACUCCUCCGACCGCUUCAAUUUCUCUUC